This 396-nucleotide ribosomal RNA is filed under the name uncultured bacterium. RNAcentral's name for it is "partial 16S ribosomal RNA". It matches the Rfam family "Bacterial small subunit ribosomal RNA", at positions 523 to 918 of the family's 1533-position model. The record is from RNAcentral.
AUACGUAGGUGGCAAGCGUUGUCCGGAUUUACUGGGUGUAAAGGGCGUGUAGGCGGAGAUGCAAGUCAGGAGUGAAAUCUAGGGGCUCAACCCCUAAACUGCUUUUGAAACUGUAUCCCUUGAGUAUCGGAGAGGCAGGCGGGAUUUCUAGUGUAGCGGUGGAAUGCGUAGAUAUUAGGAUGAACACCAGUGGCGAAGGCGGCCUGCUGGACGACAACUGACGCUGAGGCGCGAAAGCGUGGGGGGCAAACAGGAUUAGAUACCCUGGUAGUCCACGCUGUAAACGAUGAAUACUAGGUGUGGGGGGACUGACCCCCUCCGUGCCGCAGUUAACACAAUAAGUAUUCCACCUGGGGAGUACGAUCGCAAGAUUGAAACUCAAAGGAAUUGACGGGG